Molecule: ribosomal RNA, 406 nt
Filed under: uncultured bacterium
Lineage: Bacteria
Description: partial 16S ribosomal RNA
Rfam family: Bacterial small subunit ribosomal RNA
Source: RNAcentral
AUUGAACGCUGGCGGCAGGCCUAACACAUGCAAGUCGAACGAGAGGCGGACGGGUGAGGAAUGGCUGGGAAACUGCCUGAUGGAGGGGGAUAACUACGGGAAACGGUAGCUAAUACCGCUAACCAUCAGAUGGGCCCAGAUGGGAUUAGCUAGUUGGUGGGGUAACGGCUGACAAAGGCGACGAUCCCUAGCUGGUCUGAGAGGAUGACCAGCCAAACUGGAACUGAGACACGGGCCAGACUCCUAAGGGAGGCAGCAGUGGGGAAGAUUGGGCAAUGGGCGAAAGCCUGAUGCAGCAAUGCCGCGUGUAUGAAGAAGGCCUUCGGGUUGUAAAGUACUUUCAGCGGGGAGGCGGUACCCGCAGAAGAAGCACCGGCUAACUCCGUGCCAGCAGCCGCGGUAAUAC